Culex pipiens pallens (northern house mosquito) is the source of this 651-nucleotide long non-coding RNA. RefSeq lists it as uncharacterized. The record is from RefSeq and is a predicted model, not a curated record. The transcript is spliced from 3 exons. NCBI's taxonomy places the organism in Eukaryota, Metazoa, Arthropoda, Insecta, Diptera, Culicidae.
UUAUAUUGCAUUGCAUCUUUGACAGAACAGGAACAGAGGGGCGAAAGUCGAAAAACAACACAGGAAAAAGUUUUCCUUCGGCAAAUUUGUGUGGCUCAGCGUUUACUAUCCGGGUUGGCGAAUGUCCACGGAGUGUUUCAGAACGUGAUCAGGCUACCGUGCUGUCACGGUCGAAGGUGUGAAAGUGGUUCGGUUACCUUAGCUCCCCGGUCAAACAAGGUCAGAUCGAGCGCCGCAUUUACCUAUAUUAUAGACGGAGAUGCAUGCGUCAGUACAGCGUCCGUCUCCAGGCUGGUGUCCACGUUCCUGUCAGUGUAUGAUGGCACCCGACGAUGUGUUGCCAUUGAUCAAAUCGAAAUCAAGCUGUUGGACAUCCCCGAAGGCAAGGCGGUUACGUUUGCGCGAAAUGAUGGCGAGCGCUUAAGAUACCAGUGGGUGGCUUGCUGCGAUUGGCGAUUGCCCGCUUCUGGCUGGGUGGUGUCCAAUUUCGAUUUCCUUUAAGAUGCGUCCGGUUGCAUCUGGAAGCGAUUAACCCUGUGAACCUGUAGUUGGUCUAUAGACUAUCUACAGGUAAGUAGCCUAUUGGAAAAUGCAUAUGCUCUUUAGAUAGUUCAGUAUUUUUGUCUCAAGUUUUGCUUACCUUUUCUUUUU